AAAUGUGUAAUAGAAGCCAAAUAUGGAGCAGUUGGCUGCCGCCGCCGCAGCUCAAGGAUCCGACUUCAUGGGGGUGGGGGGCACCCUCUGGCGGGCGGCCCGGCGAGCCGCACAGAGCACGGCGAGCGCACCGCGCGGCGGCCGGCCCGCGCCCUUAACCCUUCGCUGCGCGCCGCCCGGGGAGGCGGGCACCUUUCCCAAAGAGUGGCUCGGGAUGGGGUGCGGGGGAGGGGAGACGCGGACCGGAGGGCAAGGUUCCUUCCAGUGGGCGAUGAGGUAAUUUGAGCGGUGACGGGUCGGUCCUCGCGCGCCUCCCUGGGUCCCUGCACCUAGUUGGAGGGGACUGAACGACAACGGGGCGCUACUCAGGCAACCUGGGGGACUCCCCCAAGGGCUGUCAGGCUUCAGCUGGGAGCCGAUGCAACACCCCAGCGGGGAGGGGAGGUCGGCCCAUUCUAAUCCCGACGUGUCCUUGGUCCCAGGCGCUCGGAGCAGCAUCUGAGAGGGCUCACUCUGAUCAUCAGCUGCACGUUAAGCCACAAACCGGCGUCGCUUCGGCGUUCCGGAACCCAGGCCUGGGGGCCGCGGGGAUUGCCUCUGCGUGCAACUCCGGAAAGUUUCAAGGGGUCCCCCGACUGCACAGGUCCGGAAAUCGGCUUUGAUAUGGAACUACUCCGCUCUAGCCUGGAAAGGAGACCCGCGCACUCCUCUCGCAGCUAAUUUCGGAUCAUUAAUUUAAUCGGAAAUGAGGUAACCAGUGUAGGAGACAGAGAAAGCAACCGGAGCAUCAAAUGGCAGUUCUCGAGAAUCGACGAGGAACUUAAAUCUGGACUCAGGGUUUCAGUGCGGUCUCCGACUCCCACCACCCCGCCCCUCCGCCUGUCUCGCCGCCAGGUGUGACCUCCACGCGAAGGAAUCUUCUUCGGAUGGGUGCACCUUGCCAACAGGUGUGGCACCUGGAGGACUAGGAGGCGCCUCCAGACUAAGGGCGCUCAGUGCGGCGUUCUUGUUGCAGAUGAUUCUGGAAGGCCGGUAGGUGUCGGGCGACAUUUGACCUUCUUCAGGUGCUUAGAACUAAGUGUCUGGAAACAUGAUCCUUUCGCGUAAGUUUCUUUCUGAAAGCCACCAAUCUUGACUGUAAGCUGUAUUUGAGAGAUCUUUUGGCUGAGUUUACUUAUGACCUAACGGUUAGUCACCAACUGAGGCAGGGCACAGGAUGACCAAAAAAAAAGUGUCAGUUUUUACACAACUCUGGCCUGCAAGAGCCCCUCUAGUGGACAGUUAACAUCAGUUUCCUGAAAAGGCUCUGACUGGUUUUGUUUUCGUUGACAAGCUUUGUCAAGGUGAAGGUUAGUACGUAAGAGCAUAACCGGGUAAAAUGUCCCCUCACCCCUAUCCUCACCCCCGCCCCCAACACCCUGCUUGGCAAAGACGACUUCAGAAAGGAGCAGAAGCUUGUUGGCUUUAUAUAGAAAAGACGUAUGCUUUGUGCUGCAGGUAUUAUUAUUACUGGACUGUGAAUAAACAGAAAGCUUCUGCUAUUCAUUUCAGUUUCAGACAGCUUUCAUAAAAACUAAAUUCAUCUCAAAUAUUUUUAUAACAGAAAAUAUUGGUUGCCAUGUUUUUGGCUUAACUGCGAUGUUUUUAUUCCAACUCAUAAUCUGCAAACUGUCCAAUCCACCUCCACUCUAUUUUUAGACAUCUUACAUUUAGAUAAUUUUCAGUUAAAAAAAAGCUAAUAUUGUAAUUUUACGUUGGCACAAGCAGUUAAUUUACGUGAUUUUAACAACCUUAAAUUAAAACACAUAAUUCAGAUUACAGUUAGUCAAUUAAUUUAAAUGUUCUCUCAAGGAAGCUAAAUAUGUAUAUUACCCAAAUGGUAAAAACAAUUAAUAAGAAAUGUGUCAUUUACUUUCUUAGCCAUUAAGUUUAAAGCCAUAAACUGCCACCAAAAUCUGUAACUAUUUCUUCCUGCAAGAUCCAACAUAAACACCAUACUCAUGAAACUGUCUCAUUACCUUUAGUACUGAAAUAUUUUGUUUUCAGAUGGCAAAAUAUUAAGUGUACAAUCACAAAUAACAGGCACUGAUUCUUUAGAAACAAGACUUUCUCGUGCAAAUAAAAACUCAAUGAAAAAGGGCAGAGCUUCCAAGAAGCUAGUAGACAAAUAUAUAGUACUAUAGUCCUACUCAUAAGGCUGGUGUUAUGUUUGUAAAAGCAUAAGUCAACCUUUGAAAUUACAGGAAAUCGAUAAAUAAGGCCUGAUGAGCUUGACUCGUAUCCUGUGUCAUAGAUUGCUUAAAUACCAUGAAAAAUAAUUGUAAUCACAUAUCUAUUUUACUGUUUUGGUGGUAUCUACUCUUGAAGGUGUUAAAUGGGCCAGCAAGUAUAUAUUAUAUAAUUACAUAUUACACCCUUACUUAAAGUGUAGUUUUCAAAGUCGCCACAGCAGCACUUGGGAGCUUUUUAGACAUUCAGAGUCAAGGGUUCUACCCCAGACAUACCAAAUCAGAAUCUGCCUUUGAACCAGGCCCCUGGGUGAUUUCUAAACACAUUAUCAUGUGAAGAACACUGGUCUAUACCACAGGGAUCAACCUAAAUAAAUUUGGGCACAAGUGCAGAAGUUAAUUCCUCUAUUUAUUUCUUUUUUGCUCCUUUUUAGUAAGUACAGCCCUUAUUAAUUUGUGCUUUUCAAUGAAAAAUUAUUAUGUUAUAUGCUUUGGAUAAAUACUACUGCACUGUAAGUGCACACAUCUGCAUCAUUAUUGCCAAAAAAGAAUGCUCUGCUGAGGAAUGUACUGGGGUCUUGAACAUGAACAUUUUCUUCAUGGCAGCAGAGGGAGCACAAGAGUGCUUAAUAAAACCAGUGCACAGGUCUCUCCAAAUCAUGACAGAUUUUACAUUGUAGUAUAUGUUUUCAUUGGAAGUAGCCUGUUAUGUAGUUCAAAAUGAAGCAAAUCAACUGAGCAAACACAGAUAGGCUUACCAGGUCAUAACAACUAUGUAACUGAACAGAUUGAAAGUUGAAUAAAAUAAAGAUAAACUUCUUUAGAGUUUUAGGCUUGAAUUCUUAAAAGAAAGUGGACCUCAAAAGUGAAAAAGAUGCCUUAGCUUUGCUCAAAAACAAAGAUAACACAACACAGAAUCAGGCAACCCUAAGAUGCCUUAGCUUUACUCAAAAACAAAGAUAACACAGAAUCAGGCAACCCUAAUAGUAGCUCCUGUUUAUCUAAAAACAGAGUCAGUUCACUGGACCCUACAUCAGGUAACUUAAUUUCAUUUGGUGUCAUACAUGUUGGUUAAGGUCCAUGCGCCUUUUGCUGUGUUUACACUCAGAAUAAUUUUAGGGGUUUCUCCUUAAUGCUUGCAGUGGUGAGGAUUUAGGUUUCAGUUAUACCUACGUAGUAUUUCAUACUUUUCACUACUCUUCCAUAUUGCAUCCUCAAAAACUCCCUUGAAGCAGAUAACAUACUUGGUAAAAGCCAAGUAUCCAAAAAGUUAUGGAACCACAUCGUGCUUUCAUAACAUUGAGUCAUUUAAUUGUUUCAGUAGUGCUUUGAGGUAUUCAUAAAUGAGGGAAAUUAUACAGACUAAAGAUCCAGAGCAUUUUUUACAGUUUUAAAGGUUUUUCAAAGUUAUUCUUAGAUAAUAUGUUUAUAUAUUUAUUAUUUAUUUACAAGCAGUCACUUACUCUGCAUCUACAAUAACUAAGACUUGAGAAUAUAAAAUUGAGUAAGACAUCUUAGUGUGCAAGGAGAUCAGAGCAGAACAGAUCUUACCUUUGGAAAACUGUUAAUUUUUACCACGUUGAAACACAAAGAUUCAUAGUUGAUGCGAUCCAGCACCUGCCAGAAUCAUAGCAAUCAGACUUCCAAAUAUGAGAAUCAAACAUUAGAAUCAUUAAAAAUUUGAGAGGCGGGGGGGACAGUUGUACAACUCUUGAGCAAAAGUUGACUUAUAAGCUAAUAUUAAUAUUUCAAAUUUGUACGACAAACAAAUGUGAAGAUAUAAUGUGUAUUUUAUUUGAAUGUCUUCCCUAUCACAAAAUCACAUGAGUAAGUUGAGUUGGUAAACAUUUAUUUAUUUUUAUCUUUUCUAAAAUGCUGAAAAGAAUUUUUCUCCCACACUAAAGAGGGUUUGCCAAGUUUCUGCCUGGAGCAAUUUGUUAUGGCUGUGUAAUAAAUCCCAGAAAGUUUGAAUUUUUAAUGGAAACACUGACAGAAUAAAGAGGGUGUAAUCCUACAUAUGUCAUUUAAAAAUCUGAGCAAACCAUAGUGUGCUUGCAAAACAAAUAUACUUUCCUUAGAUUGCACUCACAAAUAAGGCUGGGGAGACCACAAAAGUAAAACAAACUCAAAAGUGAAAAACACUCACACAAUAGACUCUGAGGUCAGCUCACCACACCCAGACUAAAGUCACUGGGCUCUGUGCGUGUCACCAAGACUCUUAAAAGACAUACUUCUGAAUCAUCUUUCUUGACCCUCCACCAAACUGUAGCAAGACAGGCUUCCUGGGAAUGAAAAUGACAUUAGCAUUAGUCAAGAGUGAAAUUAAAGUCAUUGUACUCAAACAUCUGCCAACAGUCUGUGAUUUCAUAGUACCCACCUCUGAAAUAAGACUCUGUCUACAAUUAAAAACAAAGAAAAAAAGGUACUUUAGGUCUUCACUAUCCACUAUGUCUACUGAGCACUUGAAAUGUGUGAUUAGUCCAAAUUAACAUGUGCUGUAAGUGUGAAAUAUUCCUCAGAUUUUAAAAACUUGGUAUAAAAAAUACAUAUUUUACAUAUAAUAUAUAUUAUUCAUUAUUCCUAUAUUAUUAAUUUUAUGUAUUAUAUAUACACACAUGUAAUAUCUCCAUUUUUACAUUGAUUAAAUGUUGAAAAUAUUGGGUUAUUUUUUAAUAGUGUACAUUGGGUUAAAUAAAAUAUAUUAUUAAACUUCAUUUUACCUGUUUCUUUUUACUUUUUUUUUUGAGACAGGGUCUAGGUCUGUCACCCAGGCUGCAGUGCAGUGCAGUAGUGCAGUCUCUGCUCACUGCAACCUCCACCUCCUGGGCUCAAGU
This 5062-nucleotide long non-coding RNA is filed under the name Homo sapiens (human). RNAcentral describes it as "non-protein coding lnc-STMND1-4:7". The record is from RNAcentral. Lineage: Eukaryota; Metazoa; Chordata; Mammalia; Primates; Hominidae.